UCGAACGAAGUAGCAAUACUUAGUGGCAGACGGGUGAGUAACAUGUGGGUAUCUACCCUUUGGCCUGGAAUAACACGAGGAAACUUGUGCUAAUACCGGAUAAGUCUUUACGGAGAAAGCUUUAUGCACCAUUGGAUGAGCCCGCACUUGAUUAGUUUGUUGGUAGGGUAAUGGCCUACCAAGACUAUGAUCAAUAGCUGAUUUGAGAGGAUGAUCAGCCACAUUGGGACUGAGACACGGCCCAAACUCC
RNAcentral lists this ribosomal RNA (250 nucleotides) under uncultured bacterium. RNAcentral's name for it is "partial 16S ribosomal RNA". It matches the Rfam family "Bacterial small subunit ribosomal RNA", at positions 62 to 339 of the family's 1533-position model. The record is from RNAcentral.